UACGCGAGCUGGGUUCAGAACGUCGUGAGACAGUUCGGUCCCUAUCCGGCGCGGGCGCAGGAUAUCUGAGAGGAGCUGUCCUUAGUACGAGAGGACCGGGAUGGACAGACCGCUGGUGUACCUGUUGGCCUACCAAGGCCAUGGCAGGGUAGCCAAGUCUGGACGGGAUAAACGCUGAAGGCAUCUAAGCGUGAAGCCCCCCUCAAGAUGAGAUAUCCCAUCGCGAAAGCGAGUAAGACCCCUUGAAGACGACGAGGUAGAUAGGUUAGAGGUGGAAGUGCAGUAAUGUACGUAGCUGACUAAUACUAAUCGGUCGAGGGCUUAUCCA
This 328-nucleotide ribosomal RNA is filed under the name Enterocloster clostridioformis. RNAcentral describes it as "bacterial LSU rRNA". It matches the Rfam family "Bacterial large subunit ribosomal RNA", at positions 2597 to 2925 of the family's 2925-position model. Lineage: Bacteria; Bacillati; Bacillota; Clostridia; Lachnospirales; Lachnospiraceae. The record is from RNAcentral.